Molecule: ribosomal RNA, 406 nt
Filed under: uncultured bacterium
Lineage: Bacteria
Description: partial 16S ribosomal RNA
Rfam family: Bacterial small subunit ribosomal RNA
Source: RNAcentral
AUUGAACGCUGGCGGCAGGCUUAACACAUGCAAGUCGAGCGAGAGGCGGACGGGUGAGUAAUGUCUGGGAAACUACCUUAUGGUGGGGGAUAACUAAUGGAAACUGAAGCUAAUACCGCCUACCAUGAAAUGUGCCGAUGUGGGAUUAGCUAGUUGGCGGGGUAAUGGCCCACCAAGGCGACGAUCCGUAGCUGGUCUGAGAGGAUGAACAUCCACACUGGAACUGUGACACGGUCCAGACUCCUACGGGAGGCAGCAGUGGGGAAGAUUGGACAAUGGGCGCAAGCCUGAUCCAGCCAUAGCGCGUGUGUGAAGAAGGCCUUCGGGUUGUAAAGCACUUUUGGCGAGGAGGCGGUACCCAAAGAAGAAGCACCGGCUAACUCCGUGCCAGCAGCCGCGGUAAUAC